This 418-nucleotide ribosomal RNA is filed under the name Microhyla mukhlesuri. RNAcentral's name for it is "partial large subunit ribosomal RNA". The stretch from base 163 to 418 matches the Rfam family "Bacterial large subunit ribosomal RNA", at positions 566 to 909 of the family's 2925-position model. Lineage: Eukaryota; Metazoa; Chordata; Amphibia; Anura; Microhylidae. The record is from RNAcentral.
CUGAAAACCUAGCUUACUUUAUUCUUAUGAAUAUACCACCUUAACACAUACUAAAUAAAACAUUUUGUACAUUGAGUAAAGGCGAUUAAAAAAUGUCUAAAAGCUAUAGAAACUAGUACCGCAAGGGAAAAGUGAAAUAUUAAUGAAAAACCUCAAGCACAAAAAAGUAGAGCUAUAACCUCGUACCUUUUGCAUCAUGGUCUAACUAGUUCAACCAAGCAAAAUGAAUUUUAAGUUUGACUUCCCGAAACUAGGUGAGCUACUUAAAAACAGCCUUACGGGCCAACCCGUCUCUGUUGCAAAAGAGUGGGAAGAUUUUUAAGUAGAGGUGACAGACCUACCGAACCUAGAGAUAGCUGGUUAUUCAGGAAAAGGAUUUAAGUCCUACCUUAAGUUUACUGUACAUUAUAAUACACAA